GGAUUGGUGGGUCAGUGGUAGAACGCUGGCCUCCCAUGCCCGAGACCCGGGUUUGAUUCCUGGCCAAUGCA
Molecule: transfer RNA, 71 nt
Filed under: Loxodonta africana (African savanna elephant)
Lineage: Eukaryota; Metazoa; Chordata; Mammalia; Proboscidea; Elephantidae
Rfam family: tRNA
About the family: Transfer RNA (tRNA) molecules are approximately 80 nucleotides in length. Their secondary structure includes four short double-helical elements and three loops (D, anti-codon, and T loops). Further hydrogen bonds mediate the characteristic L-shaped molecular structure. tRNAs have two regions of fundamental functional importance: the anti-codon, which is responsible for specific mRNA codon recognition, and the 3' end, to which the tRNAs corresponding amino acid is attached (by aminoacyl-tRNA synthetases). tRNAs cope with the degeneracy of the genetic code in two manners: having more than one tRNA (with a specific anti-codon) for a particular amino acid; and 'wobble' base-pairing, i.e. permitting non-standard base-pairing at the 3rd anti-codon position.
Source: Rfam by way of RNAcentral